GAACAGGGACUGCAGAAGAAAUCGGUGGAACAGCCACAGUUUUCUGAACAUUAAGAGGAGAAAGGCCACAUUCAUCAGGGAUGAGGAUUCCAUUAUCUGAGGAUCUGCAUACAUGCACAUGGAUUUUUCUUUGCCCCACAGACGGACACAGAAGUAAAAAAAACUGUACCAGCAAAGAUUAUGGCAAAGCAACUAAGAAGCAGUAUGCUGCAUCAGCUCUGUAGCGAUUCUUUUACCUAGUAAGGCAAAUCUCCAGCUGGCCAAAAGAGCAGAAAGGUUAAGUAACAUACACUACUACAAGCUAAGAAGAGGUGGAGCUGGGAUUUGAACCCAGAGCUAUUUUACUCCAAGGUCAGUGCUCCUUGAGUACCCUGUUA
Long non-coding RNA from Hyaena hyaena (striped hyena), 377 nucleotides. RefSeq lists it as uncharacterized. NCBI's taxonomy places the organism in Eukaryota, Metazoa, Chordata, Mammalia, Carnivora, Hyaenidae. The record is from RefSeq and is a predicted model, not a curated record. The transcript has 3 exons.